RNAcentral lists this ribosomal RNA (550 nucleotides) under uncultured bacterium. RNAcentral describes it as "bacterial SSU rRNA". It matches the Rfam family "Bacterial small subunit ribosomal RNA", at positions 355 to 896 of the family's 1533-position model. The record is from RNAcentral.
UAGGGAAUCUUCGGCAAUGGACGGAAGUCUGACCGAACAACGCCGCGUGAGUGAAGAAGGUUUUCGGAUCGUAAAGCUCUGUUGUAAGAGAAGAACGAGUGUGAGAGUGGAAAGUUCACACUGUGACGGUAUCUUACCAGAAAGGGACGGCUAACUACGUGCCAGCAGCCGCGGUAAUACGUAGGUCCCGAGCGUUGUCCGGAUUUAUUGGGCGUAAAGCGAGCGCAGGCGGUUAGAUAAGUCUGAAGUUAAAGGCUGUGGCUUAACCAUAGUAGGCUUUGGAAACUGUUUAACUUGAGUGCAAGAGGGGAGAGUGGAAUUCCAUGUGUAGCGGUGAAAUGCGUAGAUAUAUGGAGGAACACCGGUGGCGAAAGCGGCUCUCUGGCUUGUAACUGACGCUGAGGCUCGAAAGCGUGGGGAGCAAACAGGAUUAGAUACCCUGGUAGUCCACGCUGUAAACGAUGAGUGCUAGGUGUUAGACCCUUUCCGGGGUUUAGUGCCGUAGCUAACGCAUUAAGCACUCCGCCUGGGGAGUACGACCGCAAGGUUG